This 30-nucleotide small RNA is filed under the name Bombyx mori (domestic silkworm). Its description in RNAcentral is "ovarian small RNA-25407". Lineage: Eukaryota; Metazoa; Arthropoda; Insecta; Lepidoptera; Bombycidae. The record is from RNAcentral.
UCACUCUACGGCGCCAGGCUGUCCUGGGUA